This 1092-nucleotide ribosomal RNA is filed under the name Sphingobacterium sp. 4H3. RNAcentral describes it as "bacterial SSU rRNA". It matches the Rfam family "Bacterial small subunit ribosomal RNA", at positions 278 to 1454 of the family's 1533-position model. Lineage: Bacteria; Pseudomonadati; Bacteroidota; Sphingobacteriia; Sphingobacteriales; Sphingobacteriaceae. The record is from RNAcentral.
GAUGUCUAGGGCUUGAGAGAGAAUUCCCACUGUACUAGACGACCAGUCUACGAGCAGCAGUAGAUUGUCAUGCGAAGCUGACAGCAUGCGGCAGGAGCUGCUAUAGUGUACUGCUUUGUCAGAUAACUAGAUACGUGUAUCUAGCUGAUGUACUGAGAAUAGAUCGCUACUCCGUGCCAGCAGCGCGUUAAUACGAGAUCCGAGCGUAUCGAUUAUUGGGUUUAAAGGGUGCGUAGCGCUAUUAAGUCAGGGUGAAAUACGGUGCUCAACCAUCGCAGUGCUUUGAUACUGAUGGGCUUGAAUCCAUUUGAGUGGGCGGAUAGACAAGUAGCGGUGAAAUGCAUAGAAAUGUCUUAGAACUCCGAUGCGAAGCCAGCUCACUAAGCUGGUAUUGACGCUGAUGCAGGAAAGCGUGGGGUUCGACCAGGAUUAGAUCCCUUGGUAGUCCACGCCUUAAAGGAGGAUAACUGGAUGUGGGCGAUAGCCAGCCAGCGUCCCAGGGAAAGCGUUAAGUUAUCCCCUUGGGGAGUACGCCCGCAAGGGUGAAAUUCAAAGGAAUUGACGGGGGCCCGCCCAAGCGGAGGACCAUGUGGUUUAAUUCGAUGAUACCGGAGGACCUUUCCCCGGGCUUAAAAGUUAGUGAAGAGUGCAGAGACCCAUUCUUCUUUCGGGCCCGGAACCUAGGUCUUCCAUGGCGGUCGUCAGCUCGUCCCGGGAGGUGUUGGGUUAAUUCCCCCACCGAGCCCAACCCUUAUGUUUAGUUGCCACCAUUUAAGGUGGGGACUCUAAACAGACUGCCUGUGCAAACAGAGAGGAAGGUGGGGACGACGUCAAGUCAUCAUGGCCCUUACGUCCGGGGCUACACACGUGCUACAAUGGAUGGUACAGCGGGCAGCUACAUAGCAAUAUGAUGCUAAUCUCUAAAAGCCAUUCACAGUUCGGAUUGGGGUCUGCAACUCGACCCCAUGAAGUUGGAUUCGCUAGUAAUCGCGUAUCAGCAAUGACGCGGUGAAUACGUUCCCGGGCCUUGUACACACCGCCCGUCAAGCCAUGAAAGUUGGGGGUACCUAAAGCAUGUUACCGCGAGGAGCG